UAAAGCACCCAUCUUCAAUUCUUCAUCCCUGCGUCUUCUCUCUUUAACGCCGACUCCACCGACAACCAACCUCACACCUUGCCGGAGAUACAAUCGUUGAUUCUGCAUCCGUCUUCUCUUUCCGAAAAACUUCAACGACAACCAACCACUGCCACCUAUCUACUCCACAUCCUUCUAACGCACCUACAACCCUCCAACCUCGUGAAGUACCGGUGAUGCUAGUCGAUCCAACCAUCACCGAAAACAAUGGAGUCCACAGAGCUACAUUUAUAAUCAGAAAUGAGGGUGUCAUCUGUGAAACUUAUUUCCAGGUAACAUCAUAUGAAUAAAAAAACAAAUUCCAAUCCUUUCUUCUACCCCUCUCCGUGAUUCCCUUUCUGUCGUUAUUGGUUCUCUCUAUUUUCUCAGGUCUCUUAUGUGAGUUGUGUUUGUAUUAACUGUACAUGACGUGUGAUGUUGUAUUGAUUAUAUAGGUUACUAUAAUCUGGAUAUAACUUUGUGAUUGGUGCGAAAAAAUGGAUUCCACUUGAGUUGCACAAGAGGUGUUUGAUGAAAUGCUUAAAAAAGAUGUUUCGUGAUGCCCAAAAUUGCCAACAUAGUUAUCACUUGUAACUCAUCUCUGUGCAUAAAAUGAGUCUUCUGAUUAGCAAAUUGAGUCCUUUAAAUCUUUGUUUUUUUAAAUUUGGAGGUCUGUAAAUUAAAUCUUUUAAAGAUCUAAUCGAUGGUUAUGGGUUAAAAUGUUUACUCACUUGAAACUAGUAAUUUGAAUCCCUUAAUGAUUUGAUUUUAGAGAGACAACAGUUGUUCCACUGGAGCAAUCAUCUCUAUUUUCUUUGGCUCUACAUACCAUGAAUCGUCAGAGGCGGAGGGUUGCCGGGGAAAGAAGAAUGUGAUAUGAGGAUGUCGAUGUUAGAGCAGGAAACAGAUUGGGUGGGGAUCAAUUUACCGAUGACGGGAGUAUUAUGGUGGUGAAGAGUUACCGGCGGAGAAGAAAAGAAGAUGAGGAAGAUCUCGUGAGAUGUCGGAUUGGGAUUUUCACAAGGGGUAUACGCACUAGGUGAAUGCGUAAAUAGGGUGGGGCCUAAAUUUAAUUAUUAUUUUUUUAAAUAAAUGUAAAAAAUAAAAAAUUCUUAUAAGGACAAAAUAGUCUUUUUAGGACAGAUAGGGACCAAGCGUGUAACAAAAAUAUAAAGUAGGGAUGGUCCGUGUUAAAAAAAAUUGUUAGGGAC
Molecule: long non-coding RNA, 1229 nt
Filed under: Lactuca sativa (garden lettuce)
Lineage: Eukaryota; Viridiplantae; Streptophyta; Magnoliopsida; Asterales; Asteraceae
Description: long non-coding RNA (LSAT_LNC010330)
Source: RNAcentral